CCAGGCACUAGGAAUAGCAAGGAAGCUCCCUUGUUUCCCUACCAUAGAGUAAGUUCCACUGAGCAACAUUGCCCAGUUCCGAUGAGGACUACAGUCGUUCUAGGGUUAAUUUAGGAUCUUGAGAUCUAGCCACAUUCCAGAUCCUAUUGACUUUGUAGAGUGUCUUGUCCCUCCUGGUUCUCCCCUCAGUCUUGGGCUCUCAGGAGCAGGCAGUGAGCCAGUCAGCAGGGUUGUGGAGAGCAGCGAGAGCAGCCUCCGCCUUCAGCAUCUGUGCAGUGGUGGCUGGGAUCUAGUCUAGAAAAGCUCACUGGGAAUCAGCUUGGCCGCAGACGCCUUGAGUCUCCUCUGCGUGACCUCGCCCUGUUCGCGACUGUCUCCCCGAGUUACUUCACGGACUUGCAGCUGUGUGCAGGCUCUCUCUACGUGCAGCAACCCUCCCUACCACUCCACUGCUGAGAAAGUCUGUUCCCCACCGCUGCACUGGCUUCACAUACUCUUCUGGAUCCGGUCUGGCACGAGGUUCCUUACUUCUAAAAUGCGCAGAAUGAUCCAUGCUCCUGGCUUCCGGCUUCUGACUUCCGACCACUCCCUCUGAUGAACUGCAAUGGGCAGGAUCCAUGCACUUGUUCUCGACAAGCCUCCCAUGCAUCCUUCCUGCUUUGCUCUUGUUCCAUCUUCAGCUGGAAUUGUGUAAUCCUGCACCUUCUUGAAAGACUUCUCUUGUGCGUCCACACAGGGCUUGGAGUCUUUAGUCGGGCAUGCCAGCUUCGUGUCAAGGACCUCCAGUCUAAGUGGUGCUUACUUACUGUGACGGAAGCCCCCACCCCCAUGUGAUGGCAUCUGGAUCAGGGGCCUUAAGGGAGUAAGAAGGUUCUGACUGCCGUGACGGUGGGCACCUGUGAUGGUCUUAGUGGCCUUACAGGCAGAGGAAGAGAUCACACCCUCUUUCCAUUACUUACACGGAGUAAAACUGUAAACGCAGCAAGGAACCUGACUUACUUAGGGUUUUCAUUACUGGAAUAAAACAGUACAACCAGAG
Long non-coding RNA from Mastomys coucha (southern multimammate mouse), 1039 nucleotides. RefSeq lists it as uncharacterized. The record is from RefSeq and is a predicted model, not a curated record. NCBI's taxonomy places the organism in Eukaryota, Metazoa, Chordata, Mammalia, Rodentia, Muridae. The transcript has 2 exons.